UUAUCCCUGCGAUGUGCGUGAUUAGUGAUUUUUAUUUUACCAACACUUUUAUAAAGGGAAUCCGGCUCCAUGCGUGGCGUAUACGCCCCCCGACUUUGUCGGCCAGGGGACAUAUAAAACGUGUGGGAGGUUACCCACCUGCUCAGGCAGGUAAAAAUUAAUCCUAUACACGGCAUGGCGGGGCUACA
RNAcentral lists this non-coding RNA (188 nucleotides) under Oscillospiraceae bacterium. Its description in RNAcentral is "6S RNA". It matches the Rfam family "6S / SsrS RNA". Rfam says of the family: E. coli 6S RNA was the first non coding RNA to be sequenced, but its function was unknown until recently. It consists of 184 nucleotides that fold into an extended hairpin structure with a large single-stranded internal bulge. The record is from RNAcentral. Lineage: Bacteria; Bacillati; Bacillota; Clostridia; Eubacteriales; Oscillospiraceae.